This 478-nucleotide ribosomal RNA is filed under the name uncultured bacterium. Its description in RNAcentral is "partial 16S ribosomal RNA". It matches the Rfam family "Bacterial small subunit ribosomal RNA", at positions 28 to 507 of the family's 1533-position model. The record is from RNAcentral.
GAUGAACGCUGGCGGCGUGCUUAACACAUGCAAGUCGAACGGGAAAUAUUUCAUUGAGACUUCGGUGGAUUUGAUUUAUUUCUAGUGGCGGACGGGUGAGUAACGCGUGGGUAACCUGCCUUAUUCAGGGGGAUAACAGUCAGCAAUGGCUGCUAAUACCGCAUAAGCGCACACAGCUGCAUGGCUCAGUGUGAAAAACUCCGGUGGGCUAAGAGGGACCCGCGUGGGAUCAGCUGGUUGGUGGGGGAACGGCCCACCAAGGCGACGAUCCAUAGCCGGGCGGAGAGGGAGAGCGGCGACAUUGGGAGGGAGACACGGCCGGGACUCCUACGGGAGGGAGGAGUGGGGAAUAUUGCAAAAUGGGGGAAAGGCUGAUGGAGCGAGGGCGGGUGAAGGAAGAAGUAGGGAGGGAUGUAAAGUUCUAUCAGCAGGGAAGAUAGUGACGGUACCGGACGAAGAAGCCCCGGCUAACUACGUG